AACGAACGCUGGCGGCGCGCCUAAUACAUGCAAGUCGAGCGAGAAGGUGUAGCAAUACACUUGUAAAGCGGCGAACGGGUGAGGAAUACAUGGGUAACCUACCCUCGAGUGGGGAAUAACUAGCCGAAAGGUUAGCUAAUACCGCAUACGAUUCCAGGACUUUCGGUUUUGGAAGGAAAGCACUACCGUGGGUAGUGCGCUCCUGGAUGGGCUCAUGUCCUAUCAGCUUGUUGGGAGGUAAUGGCUCACCAAGGCUUCGACGGGUAGCUGGUCUGAGAGGACGAUCAGCCACACUGGCACUGCGACACGGGCCAGACUCCUACGGGAGGCAGCAGUAAGGAAUAUUGCGCAAUGGGCGACAGCCUGACGCAGCGACGCCGCGUGGGGGAGUGAAGGUCUUCGG
RNAcentral lists this ribosomal RNA (403 nucleotides) under uncultured bacterium. RNAcentral's name for it is "bacterial SSU rRNA". It matches the Rfam family "Bacterial small subunit ribosomal RNA", at positions 29 to 421 of the family's 1533-position model. The record is from RNAcentral.